This 320-nucleotide long non-coding RNA is filed under the name Elaeis guineensis (African oil palm). Its description in RNAcentral is "long non-coding RNA (EGUI_LNC006330)". Lineage: Eukaryota; Viridiplantae; Streptophyta; Magnoliopsida; Arecales; Arecaceae. The record is from RNAcentral.
CCGGAUGGAUCGAGCUGUACGAUCAAAGGCAUCGGGACGGUCAGUUGGAGGACACAUGAUGGUGUAGUGAGGAGAUUGAGGGAGAUCCGAUACAAAUCUGAUUUCAAGCGAAAUCUUAUCUCACUGAGCAGACUGAAUUCGAGAGGCUACAGGAUGGUAGCUGGUGGAGGACUUCUGAAGGUGCUAUGCGGCGAUAAGAUUGUUCUGGAGGGAAAGAAGGGGAGAAGAGAACAUUAUUACUUGGUAGAGAGCCCAGUGCGCGGUGGAGCUUCAGGUGCCAGGUGGAGCCUAGAGCAAGGUGGAGCUCUAAGUGGAGGUGG